This is a long non-coding RNA of Cylas formicarius (sweet potato weevil), 430 nucleotides long. RefSeq lists it as uncharacterized. Lineage: Eukaryota; Metazoa; Arthropoda; Insecta; Coleoptera; Brentidae. The transcript has 3 exons. The record is from RefSeq and is a predicted model, not a curated record.
CAAAGGAACGUUAUCACCGGCCGUUUCCAUGAAACUGGGUUUCAAAUUGGCAAUUUGAGAACUGUCUGGUCCGAGUUUAGAUGUUUGAAUCCUGAAGGUGAAGCGCGUUUGCAAAAGGUGAUGAUGGUUCUCCGAAUUGAAAUUCUAUCAACGCAGCCUUGUAAUGUAAUUUAAGUGUAUCGAUGAAAACCGCCUGCAAUGUCCAGCACUUUCAACAUUCUCUCAGCUCGCAAGAUAUUUGCAUCCCUUUAAAAUAGAAACAAUGUAAUCUUGAUUAUAUACCUAGGCACAAAGUAUACACUGUGUUUCAUAAAAGCGGGACUUUAAAAAAAAAUGUACAUUUAUAAGUUACGUUACGUUACGAUUUGGCUAUGUAAUAGAUUUAAGUUUUCCGGUACUACUUAUUCGUUUUCAUCGAUCAUGUAUAAAA